GAGCACUGUUUCGGCAAGGGGGUCAUCCCGACUUACCAACCCGAUGCAAACUGCGAAUACCGGAGAAUGUUAUCACGGGAGACACACGGCGGGUGCUAACGUCCGUCGUGAAGAGGGAAACAACCCAGACCGCCAGCUAAGGUCCCAAAGUCAUGGUUAAGUGGGAAACGAUGUGGGAAGGCCCAGACAGCCAGGAUGUUGGCUUAGAAGCAGCCAUCAUUUAAAGAAAGCGUAAUAGCUCACUGGUCGAGUCGGCCUGCGCGGAAGAUGUAACGGGGCUAAACCAUGCACCGAAGCUGCGGCAGCGACACUAUGUGUUGUUGGGUAGGGGAGCGUUCUGUAAGCCUGUGAAGGUGGCCUGUGAGGGUUGCUGGAGGUAUCAGAAGUGCGAAUGCUGACAUAAGUAACGAUAAAGCGGGUGAAAAGCCCGCUCGCCGGAAGACCAAGGGUUCCUGUCCAACGUUAAUCGGGGCAGGGUGAGUCGACCCCUAAGGCGAGGCCGAAAGGCGUAGUCGAUGGGAAACAGGUUAAUAUUCCUGUACUUGGUGUUACUGCGAAGGGGGGACGGAGAAGGCUAUGUUGGCCGGGCGACGGUUGUCCCGGUUUAAGCGUGUAGGCUGGU
RNAcentral lists this ribosomal RNA (622 nucleotides) under Escherichia coli. Its description in RNAcentral is "partial 23S ribosomal RNA". It matches the Rfam family "Bacterial large subunit ribosomal RNA", at positions 905 to 1529 of the family's 2925-position model. Lineage: Bacteria; Pseudomonadati; Pseudomonadota; Gammaproteobacteria; Enterobacterales; Enterobacteriaceae. The record is from RNAcentral.